RNAcentral lists this microRNA precursor (142 nucleotides) under Glycine soja. RNAcentral describes it as "MIR1520 microRNA precursor family". It matches the Rfam family "MIR1520 microRNA precursor family". Lineage: Eukaryota; Viridiplantae; Streptophyta; Magnoliopsida; Fabales; Fabaceae. The record is from Rfam by way of RNAcentral.
UAGUCAUGUUCUGAUAAUUGACACGUGUCAUAUUCUGAUUGACGAAUGACAACAACAAUCCAUUUCAUCUUCAAUGGAUUCAAUAUUCAAUCAGAACAUGACGCGUAUUCAAUAAGAACAUGACACGUGAUAAUCAACAUUC